CUGCAUCAACUGAGGCCUAUUAAGCGUGUUGCUUUUGAAGGGCCUGUAACAGGAAGGCGUUUCUAUGGCUGCCCAGUCCAGGAAAAUGGUGUGAAUUGUGGUGUUGUAGAGUGGGUUGAUGGGCCUUGGCCAACUGUUCUUCAGAGAUGUUUGUGCAAACUAUGGGAGAUGUUCCAUGAGCAGAACUUUGGAAGGGUACAUGACAAGGAGAAGUUUGAGAAGGAGUUGGCCAGGCUUAAGACUGAAAAUGACAAGCUUUGCAUUGAGUACACCAAGCUUGUUGAUGAUGUAUCCAAGAUGUUUGAUUGGCAGGAUGGUAGGGUGGACAAGAAGGUGUACCAGAAACAAGUGGAGGAGGAAGAACUUGAGAAGAAGAAGAAGGAGCUAGAGGAGAAAGCUAUGUUGGAGGUGCAGAUGGAAAAGCUCAAACUUGCAAAAGAGCAUAGGUGCAUUUUGCAGAGCCAAGCUGAUAUCAUCAAGAACACCGGGAAGGCUAUGAAGGCUGUUGAAGUUGACAGAGAUGUUCUUAAGAAGGAGAAGGCAAAGCUUGAGCUUGUUGUUGCUGAGCUGCUGAAAGAAGGGUAUGGCAGCAAGGAGAAGUUAGAGCAAAUCAAGGCCAUCCUUGAGUCUUGA
RNAcentral lists this ribosomal RNA (633 nucleotides) under Triticum aestivum (bread wheat). Its description in RNAcentral is "partial small subunit ribosomal RNA". The record is from RNAcentral. Lineage: Eukaryota; Viridiplantae; Streptophyta; Magnoliopsida; Poales; Poaceae.